RNAcentral lists this ribosomal RNA (553 nucleotides) under Bifidobacterium longum subsp. infantis. RNAcentral's name for it is "bacterial SSU rRNA". It matches the Rfam family "Bacterial small subunit ribosomal RNA", at positions 145 to 712 of the family's 1533-position model. The record is from RNAcentral. Lineage: Bacteria; Bacillati; Actinomycetota; Actinomycetes; Bifidobacteriales; Bifidobacteriaceae.
CUCUCCUGGAAAACGGGUGGUAAUGCCGGAUGUUCCAGUUGAUCGCAUGGUCUUCUGGGAAAGCUUUCGCGGUAUGGGAUGGGGUCGCGUCCUAUCAGCUUGACGGCGGGGUAACGGCCCACCGUGGCUUCGACGGGUAGCCGGCCUGAGAGGGCGACCGGCCACAUUGGGACUGAGAUACGGCCCAGACUCCUACGGGAGGCAGCAGUGGGGAAUAUUGCACAAUGGGCGCAAGCCUGAUGCAGCGACGCCGCGUGAGGGAUGGAGGCCUUCGGGUUGUAAACCUCUUUUAUCGGGGAGCAAGCGUGAGUGAGUUUACCCGUUGAAUAAGCACCGGCUAACUACGUGCCAGCAGCCGCGGUAAUACGUAGGGUGCAAGCGUUAUCCGGAAUUAUUGGGCGUAAAGGGCUCGUAGGCGGUUCGUCGCGUCCGGUGUGAAAGUCCAUCGCUUAACGGUGGAUCCGCGCCGGGUACGGGCGGGCUUGAGUGCGGUAGGGGAGACUGGAAUUCCCGGUGUAACGGUGGAAUGUGUAGAUAUCGGAAAGAACACCAC